CCUACGGGUGGCAGCAGUGAGGAAUAUUGGUCAAUGGGCGGGAGCCUGAACCAGCCAAGCCGCGUGAGGGAAGAAGGUCCAGCGUAUUGUAAACCUCUUUUGUCAGGGAACAAAGGCGGGGACUAGUCCCCGGAUGAGGGUACCUGAAGAAAAAGCAUCGGCUAACUCCGUGCCAGCAGCCGCGGUAAUACGGAGGAUGCGAGCGUUAUCCGGAUUUAGUGGGUUUAAAGGGUGCGCAGGCGGACUGUUAAGUCAGCGGUAAAAGUCCGGGGCUCAACCCCGGCGAGCCGUUGAAACUGGGGGGCUGGAGUUGGAGAGAAGUACGCGGAAUGCGCGGUGUAGCGGUGAAAUGCUUAGAUAUCGCGCAGAACCCCGAUUGCGAAGGCAGCGUACCGGCUCCACACUGACGCUGAGGCACGAAAGCGUGGGUAUCGAACAGGAUUAGAUACCCUAGUAGUC
RNAcentral lists this ribosomal RNA (459 nucleotides) under uncultured bacterium. RNAcentral's name for it is "partial 16S ribosomal RNA". It matches the Rfam family "Bacterial small subunit ribosomal RNA", at positions 338 to 795 of the family's 1533-position model. The record is from RNAcentral.